Molecule: long non-coding RNA, 1238 nt
Filed under: Anas platyrhynchos platyrhynchos (common mallard)
Lineage: Eukaryota; Metazoa; Chordata; Aves; Anseriformes; Anatidae
Description: lncRNA (ENSAPLG00000027663.1)
Source: RNAcentral
AUUUUGGGGUUUUCAGGGGGUCUCUAUGGGGUUUUGGGGUUUCCAUGGGGACUCAAUAGGGUUUUGGGGUUUUUAUAGGGUCUCUAUAGGAUUUUGGGGUUUUCAGGGGGUUUCUAUAGGAUUUUGGGGUUUUCAGGGGGUUUCUAUGGGAUUUUGGGGUUUCCAUAGGAUCUUAGGAUUUGGGGAUUUCCAUAGGAUCGUAAUAGGAUUUUGGGUUUUUUUUAUAGGAUCUCUAUAGGAUUUUGAGGUUUUCAUAGGGUUUCUAUGGGAUUUUGGGUUUUCCAUAGGGUUUCUAUGGGAUUUUGGGGUUUCCAUAGGAUCGUAAUAGGAUUUUUGGGUUUCUAUAGGAUCUCUAUAGGAUUUUUGGGAUUUUCAUAGGAUCUCUAUAGGAUUUUGAGCUUUUCAUGGGAUUUCUAUAGGAUUUUGGGGUUUCCAUAGGAUUUCUAUAGGAUUUUUGGGUUUCCAUAGGACCUCUAUAGGAUUUUGGGGUUUCCAUAGGAUCUCUAUAGGAUUUGGGGGUUUUCAUAGGAUUUCUAUAGGAUUUUGGGGUUUUCAUGGGCUUUCUAUGGGAUUUUGGGGUUUCCAUAGGAUCUUAGGAUUUUGGGAUUUCCAUAAGAUCUUAAUAGGAUUUUAGGAUUUCUAUAGGAUUUUGGGGUUUCCAUAGGAUUUCUAUAGGAUUUUUGGGAUUUUCAUAGGAUUUCUAUAGGAUUUUUGGGAUUUUCAUGGGAUUUCUAUAGGAUUUUGGGGUUUCCGGGGGUCCCGAAGGCAUUUUGGGGUCGCCACUCACCCUAUAAAGCAGUGGGCGGCCGUCAGCACCCAGCUCUCGGCCACCAGGGCCCCCCCGCAGCGGUGGCGUCCCCCAAAAACCAGGCUGACGUACCAGGGCCACCCCGACCCCCGGGGGGGCUCCAGGGGGGGCCCCCCCCUGCAUCCCACAACCUGUAGGGUCGGGAGAGGAAAUAGGGUCAGGGGGGUGGAUAAUAGGGUCAGCCCCUACGAGGGGUUUUGGGGGGGGUUGGGGUGGCCCCGUGGUGUUUUUUGGGGAGGAAUGGGGGGAAAAAAUGGGGUUUUGGGGGGGGUUUAUGGGGUUUUGGGGUUUCUGGGGGGGGGUUAAUAGGGUUUGGGGUGGGUUUGGGGUGGGUUUGGGGUGGGCCCGCCCUAUUAUUGGGGGGGAAACAAGGGGGUUAUAGGGUUUUGGGGUUCCCCAUGGGGUCUCAGUGGGGUUUUGGGGUUUCUGG